Long non-coding RNA from Brassica rapa (field mustard), 6249 nucleotides. RefSeq lists it as uncharacterized. The record is from RefSeq and is a predicted model, not a curated record. NCBI's taxonomy places the organism in Eukaryota, Viridiplantae, Streptophyta, Magnoliopsida, Brassicales, Brassicaceae.
AGUUUAUUUAUUUUAAUGCACCCAUGGUAGGUUUAUCUGUACGUUGUGGGCUAAAAAAAAGACUGUUGGAAUGGGGAGAUGGAUGCUACAAUGGAGAUAUAUAAGACGAGGAAGAUGGUUCAAGCAUCGGAAGUCAAAGCUGACCAGUUGGGUCUUGAGAGAAGUGAGCAGCUUAGAAAGCUUUACCGUCAAUAGCAAAGUAGCAAAGUCUUCACUCGCUCUCUUCUGGCUAAAAGUGCUUCGCUUCUCACAGUGGUUUGCUUUCCAUUUCUUGGAGGAGUUCCUGAGAUUGGCACGACCGAACAUCGAUAACUAAAACGCGGAUGGCACGCGAAUGGAGCUUGAACCACUCUCCAGAGAAACGUCAAAGGGCACUUCGAACUCCUCCUCUAACCCGUUCUUCUCCAGAGGUAGUUACAGUUCGAUCAGACGCAGCUUGGAGCUCUAACGGAAGAGGCGCUGGGCUUGGAUGGGUCAUCCUUUCCACUCCUUGCAAUAGCCCUUUCCAAAAACACCAGGAGUUUGUAGCGUCACCCCUAAUGGCGGAGAGCUUGGCUUUGAGGGAAGCAGUACAAUCUUGCGUUGAGAAGGAAUUGAAGGAGGUGUGCUUUGAGUCUGAUUCUGCACAGCUGAUUAAAUCCAUCGCAUCAGGCAACGGAUUGCCGGAAAUUUACGGAGUAGUCAUUGAUAUUUUAUCUUCUGCAGCGUUGUUUAAGUCUGCUAGUUUCAAUUGGAUACCUCGGGAGAGGAACAUCCUUCCUGAUACCUUAGCCAAAGAUGCUUUGUUUGUAGGUGAAACUCGGGUAGUUGAGUUGGCGUUUAUGGCCCCCAAUUAACCCCUUGCUUUUAAUAUAAAUGUGUUUCAAAAAAAAAAAACUAAAACGCGGAAAAGACUGGUAGCGAUAGUCGCCGGCGGCAAAUAUAUAACGAUGCUGCGUUUUAAUUCUCUGUUUUCUUUGUUAAUUUUCGGUGGUUUUCUUCUGACGCAGCGUUAGAGAAAAGAACACGGCUAUACUCUACCUUCCACGUUUGAGAGUUAUUAGCAUAAUAUUUAUUUGCCUUAUACUAAAACUUCGAAAAUGUAAAUAGUCAUCAAGAAACAAUUUAGAGGGAAUGCAACCGGUACAAACUGUAGAUCCUAUGACUGACUUAUCGUCCUCAAACGGAUCUGAGGAGCAUGGAUCUCGACGAGCCACUAGGACCCAUAGCUUUCGCGGAGGUCACCACGACAGGAGACCUAUCCGGUUCGCCGUGAAGAGAGAAGAGAUGCCUUCCAAAACUUUGAUACCGUACAUUGACCGUCACUUUGGCGAGGAUGCCGACGGAAACGAUGGGUGGGAGACCUCGAGACCGUCUGAUGGAGGCGCCGGAACCGGCUGAGUCUCCACCCAUACAAAAUCUAUUUUGCGGAUGAAAGAAAAGAGAGGAGGGCUUAGUGGCAAUGUCCGCUCUAAAGAUUUUUAGUUUCCAAUUAUGUCUUUGAAUAUAUUGCAUCAUAGAAAUCAUAACAAUUUAGUUUAACAAUUGGUAUCUAAACAAAUUUAAAUUUGUUCAAUUCACCCGAGAAUUAGUUUUUAUUUUUUUAAUCGUGUUAGCGUUGAGGUAAGUUACGUAACAAACAUUAUGUUAAAGCACAUGCAUUGCGUAUACGAAUUUUGUUACAGAACGAACGUCAACGAUAACGUAAGCAGUGCAUGCACGAAGUUUGUGUAAAAUUAAUUGCUUGAAAAGGUGCUUAGAUUAGUCCGGAACAUCAUGGCCCAAUGGUAAGGACGGGCUCCUUCCUGCAUCCAGGUUGCGAGUUCGAAUCUUGCCGGAGAAAACUACCUCAUGAUGUCUCUGGACACCCAUAUGGGCCUAUGUUUUAGGGCCCAUUUGCAUAUCCGGAGAGAGGGUCUAUCCGUGUUAUCCCCAGGUUAAAAAAAAGUGCUUAGAUUAUGUUUCCAGAAUUAAUUACGGUUCUCUAUAUCACCAUAUCGAAAUCUCUUAAAAGGUUAAGUUAAAUAACUGGUUUAUGUAUUGGUGGCAAGAUUCAUAGAUGGAAUAAAAAUGAACAAAUGAUGCUCCUUUAAUUAAAUAACUAGCUUUUGACCCGCGCGUCCGCGCGGAUGUAUGUUCGAUGUAAUUAUAUGUUUUGUUUAUUGUAAAAAUAUUCAUGUUAUUGUUUCAUAUGUUAUUAGUUGUGACAUUGGUGUAUCUUGUUUAUGUUGUUUAGUGUACAUUUUUAAGCUUUGAGGUUGUAUUGUUCUUAUAUUGUAAUUUUUUUUUACUUGGUAAACUAAACAUAAAGUGUAUAAUAUUAGAACAUUUAUUUGAGAUUUAAUAGUUUUAUUAAAUAAGAAAAUCUAAAAUUUGUGAUUUAUAGCUUGUUUUAAAUUUUUGCUUAUAUAGCUUUACAAACAAUAAAAUCGCUAGCAAAUAUACAAACAAUUGGAAAAGUAACCCAAAAACAUAUAAAAAUAUGUAUAUCUCUAUUAAAUAUUUACAAAGUCUAAUUAGAUGAAUUGAUUUGCGCCAUUUUGUUAUGGUUUUAAAAUAUUUAUCAUUUGUAACCGAAUAAAUAGUAGACCUGAAUCACAAAUCAAAAUCUAUGUAAUUUUUUUUUUUUGGGAAAUAAACAGAAACACGUCUGCCCUGCUACCAGCUGUAUUGAUUUGAACAUUUUUAAUUACUCCCCAUUUUUCAACUGGUAUAGCAUGCUGAACAUGGUACAUGUGUGUUCUAAGGCCUGAGUUUUGUGAGAGCAUGAAAAGUAGUCAUAGUAGAUAGUUUCGGAGGAUUUGCGUUGAAUGAUAUGGUGUUUAGAUUAUUAGGAAAGAGGUAUAUAUAGCUAGUUAGGAAAGGUUAGAGUAAGUCAAUAUUAAUAUCUAAGAUUUUGUUAGUUGUGAAUUUUUAGUAUUAUAUAGCGAAUAUCCUAUACGAUUUUAUUCCAAGUUUGAUUCUUUGCUUAACGUAAUAAACGAAUAUAAGUUGAGAAAAUUAAGAUAUUUUACGUGAACGGCAAGAUUAAGCACACAAAAAGAUUUUGUGGUAGUUGAUUGAUAUGAUAUUUGUUAUGAAUGCUUAAAUAUAUGAAUAGAUUAGUGGUGGGCUUUCGGGUACCCAUUCAGGUUUGGUUCGGGUCUAUUCGGGUUUCAGAUUUUCGGGGUCAAAGAUUUCAGCUCCAUUCGGGUAUAUCUAAGUUUUGGUUCGGGUUCGGUUUGGAUCUUUGCGGGUUUGGUUCGGAUUAAGAUAACCCAUUAAAAUUAUUUUUAAAAUUUUAAAAUUCAUUUUAUAAUUUAAAUUUCUCAAAAUAUACAAACAAAAUAAUAUAUCACAUAUAAAUUUGAAUAACAUAUAUCAAAAUACCUAAACUUAACAUAUAAUUUGAUUUGGUUUGAAUAUUUGGAUAAAUAAUCAAUAGAUAUUUCAAGUAUUUUUGGUGUUUUGGGUAUAUUUUAGCUAUUUUAUUCAUUUACCUUUGACUAUUUGUAUAUAUUUUCAAGUAUUUGAACAAUUUAAAAAUAUCUUAUAUAUUUUGGAUGUUUUUAAUAGAAAUUAAAUCUAAAAUAUAUUUAUAUACGGGGUAUACAAAUCUAUUUCGGAUUCAUUCGGGUACCCGAAAUACUUCGGUUCGGGUCGGAUUCGGGUUUGGUUUUGGUUCUUUAGAUACCAAAAUUUUGAAUCCAUUCAGAUAUUUAAUCAAUUUCGGUUAUGAUUCGAUUCGGUUCUUCGGAUUCAGAUUUUUUUUCCCACCUCUAGAAUAGAUAGUAGAGUAAAAAUUGUUUUCAUAAACAUUUUUUAGUUGUUCUGUGAGUAAGAAUUUGAUUCCACGCUAUAGGAAUGUUGUAUAUAUAUUGUUUGGUCGAGUCUAUAGGUUAAAAAAAUCUUGACUAAAUAUUAGUCAAACAUGAUUUACACAUUUUAAAAAGAAUAUAUACAUAUCUUAAAAUAUUUAAUAACAAUUCUUUUUAUUUUAAUAGUUAAUCAGUUAGGGUUGGUUAAGAUAAGAGAUUUAGAUCUUGUACUAUAAAAUAUCAUACAAUUAAGAUGUUUUUUUAAAAAAGAAUUAUUAUAUUUAGUCAUACGUGAUUUCACGUUUUGGAAAUAGAAUAUACAAAUUUUGAAGUAACACUAAUAAAUGUAUUUUUACAUUUCCAUAUUUUAUUAGUUAAUAUUACCUUUUGAAUAGAAUGCAUUUGAAGUUUGAAAGGAAUAUAUAUGCAGAUUUUGUUUGUAAGAUUGAUAUAGAUUUGGUUAUUGUGAUAGCUUAAAAAUAGGAGUCCUCUUUGGAAUUUUUUUUUAUAUUAAGGUUCUACAAAAUUAAUGAUAUAGAUUGUGUGUGCAUCGAAAAAUCUGCUGAAUAUAACAUUCCAAAUUUAGUAUUUCAUAAAUGGUUCGGCUAAAUAAUAUUAAAAACGUGGUUACACAAACCAUAUGUAAGUAUGCAGUUUGGUAUGAAAAUCUUUUACAGACCACCAAAUACAGAUUAUAUACAUAUAAUAUUAAUUUUCUUGAUCAGAGUAUAUAAUUGAAGUACACGUUUGGUUAAGUAUUAGAUGAAAUAUAGUAGACUUAAUAUAUUAUAAUUUUAUGUUAUAGAUUUGACAAACAUGGUUCUUUAUAUUAGCAGUUUACGACUCUACAGCAUUGGAUAGAUUGAAUUUAUGACGGCAUUCAAAUUUCUAACCGAGUUAAGGUUGGUUAAGGGAACACGUGAUAUUUGGUUAAUUCAAUUAAUUGAAUUAAGGUUGAUUUGUAAUGUUGUUAAAUGAGUCAGUGGCAUGCAAUGGUAAUUAUUGUGGAAAAUUAAGGGUUAAGUACAUUUUGUACUUCAGUUUUAAUAGUUUAGAUGAAAGUGCAUGCAUCUAAUCUAUUAAAACAGAAGUACAAAAUUAAAAUAACUUUAGAUUUUCAAAGUUAUUUACACUCUCAUGCCACUUAGAUUAUUAAUAAGCUUUCCUAAAAAUAAUGUUAUCUUUUUCGAUUAAUUAAUGCUAGAAUAUUGACAAUAAAAACGGAAACAAUGACUUCAAGUCUUCAACAUGAUCUGUUGUUUUUAACUAAAUUAAAAUUACCUAAACCUUUCUUCUUCACUUACCGUAUGAUGAAUCGGAUGACUUCAAAGUAAAUCAUUGAUUCCAUUCUUCAUUCAUAUCAUAUAAUUAUAUGAAUAAUUAUUCCUCCAAAACCCUCAUUUUCCAGUCACGUUAGCAUUGACAUCAUGUGGAUAUAUUAAUGUAAACUAUAACAACAACUAGAUAUAUAUAUAUAUAUAUAUAUAUAUAUAUAUAUAUAUAUAUAUAUAUUAAUUUCGUAAUGUAUAAAAUUCAAAUCAUCUAUAUCAAUAGAUGAUCUAAUCUUUCUAAACCAACCAAAUCAAUUAAAACCCAUAAAAGCAGGUUAUCUUUGUUGAGUCUAUCCAAGCCCAUAAUCAAUGUCAAAUCUUUAAUAUAUACCUAUAAAACAUAGAAAUUGUAACCUAGAAUUUCGCUAUCUUUUAUAUUUACGUAAAUAAUAUAUGGUAUUAAUUUUUUUUUCCAAAUCAGUUCUUCAUUGCUUUACUUGCGGAAGAGUCUACAACAAGUUCAAAAUUUGAAUUCAGAAAUGAUUAAAUCUGAGUUAAUUAACAUGAUCCUACUUACCAAAAAUAUUUGAUCCCCUUAUAUUCAAAAUCUUAAACUUUGAUAAUAGAAUAAAUAGUUAAUAAUGAUAAUUGAGUAUAUUUGAUUCAUUAAUAGUAUCAUUGUAAUCAACUACCGUGAGAGUUAAUGUUAGCACAACAUGUAGGAAACUGAUUUGCCAAAUAAUAUUAUAGAGAUAAAACAGUUAUAAGUUCUUAAAUUAAUCAGUAAAAAUUAGCUUUUAUUAAUUUGGUAAAAUUUUAUAUUAUUAUUUUUAAAGUACAUAAUAAUUAAUUACAAAUUCUGAAACUAACUAAAAAUAUAUUUUUUCUUAUAUACAAUUGUUUCUAUUCAUUAUUUUGAAAUAAAUAAAUGUUUUAUAAAUUUAGAAUCUAAAUAAAAAAGCUUUUAUCAUACAACUGUCUCUAUUCAUAAACCAUAUAUGUUGCGAUAAAUAUUUAAUAAAUUAGUUAUGUUCUGAUUAUUUGAAAAGUUUGGAUUUAUUUCUUUUUAAGUAACAAAAUUUUAUAUAUUAAUUAUAAUGUUUGAGAUUACUUUCUGGGGUUCAUGCAUAUUAAAAAUAUAAUAUAUAUUUACAAUUAGUAAUAUUAUUUAUUUUUACUAUGAAAAUUUCAAAUAACUAUAG